Molecule: ribosomal RNA, 254 nt
Filed under: uncultured bacterium
Lineage: Bacteria
Description: partial 16S ribosomal RNA
Rfam family: Bacterial small subunit ribosomal RNA
Source: RNAcentral
UACGUAGGGACCAAGCGUUGUUCGGAUUUACUGGGCGUAAAGGGCGCGUAGGCGGCAAUUCAAGUCAUCUGUGAACUCUCCGGGCUUAACUCGGAACGGUCAGAUGAUACUGCUUUGCUAGAGUGCGGAAGGGGCAAUCGGAAUUCUUGGUGUAGCGGUGAAAUGCGUAGAUAUCAAGAGGAACACCUGAGGUGAAGACGGGUUGCUGGGCCGACACUGACGCUGAUAGCGCGAAAGCCAGGGGAGCAAACGGG